CUUGUCAAGGAUGGUUUUAUCAUCAGGAAGCCAACCAAGAUUCACUCACGAUCCCGUGCAAGGAGGGCACUGGAGGCAAAGAGAAAAGGGCGGCAUUCUGGAUAUGGUAAGCGCAGGGGUACAAGAGAAGCCAGGCUGCCGACUAAGGUACUUUGGAUGCGUAGGAUGCGAGUUCUCAGGCGGUUACUGCGUAAGUACCGUGAGUCGAAGAAGAUUGACAAGCACAUGUACCAUGACAUGUACAUGAAAGUGAAAGGUAAUGUCUUCAAGAACAAGAGGGUGCUGAUGGAAAGCAUUCAUAAAUCCAAAGCUGAGAAGGCAAGAGAGAAGACCUUAUCCGACCAGUUUGAAGCUAAACGAGCCAAGAGCAAGGCCAGCAGAGAAAGGAAGAUUGCCAGGAGAGAGGAACGCCUGGCUCAGGGGCCUGGAGACGGAGCACCUGCUGCGCAGCAACCUGAGGCUCCAAAGAAAGCUAAGAAGUAGAGGCACACACCGACAUUGCUGUUUCUAUUCUGAAUCAUUACUCGCUCGCAGAAUGGAAGCAUCAGCAAGCGGAUGAUUGCUAAAAAAAAAGAAAAAAGAGAAUCGCAGAAGCUUUUAUUUCAGUCAUUCUGAGUUUGCUAGUUGGAUAAUCAUGUGUGCUACACCUCACUGAUGAUGGGUGUUACCAUAUUUUGAUCGCCUAGAAACAUUGAUCACUCUCUCUUUUUUUUGUUUUUGAUAAGAUUGUCGUCUAUUGUUAAAUAAGAGUCGAGAGAUGGUGGCUAUGGUCCUUCGAACUGAUAAAACUAUGCCGAUAUCUUUGUUAGGGGAGUGAUUUUAACCACGUAAAGUGUUUGCGUGGCAUAGAUUAGUGUUUUUGUCAUCAAUAUGUUAUGCACGCAAGAAGAACCAUAAUCAAAACCCGUUCUUUUGAGCCCAUA
Musa acuminata AAA Group (dessert banana) is the source of this 923-nucleotide RNA transcript. It is a transcript of the gene named ribosomal protein eL19 pseudogene, with no coding region annotated. Lineage: Eukaryota; Viridiplantae; Streptophyta; Magnoliopsida; Zingiberales; Musaceae. The record is from RefSeq and is marked validated.